Molecule: microRNA, 20 nt
Filed under: Drosophila mojavensis
Lineage: Eukaryota; Metazoa; Arthropoda; Insecta; Diptera; Drosophilidae
Also listed under: 2 other names
Description: miR-281-2-star-RA
Source: RNAcentral
AAGAGAGCUAUCCGUCGACA